AGUCUGAGCAGGAACCAGGCCUGAUGAAAGCCUGGCCUUCAGGGCGUCGGUAAAAACCUCCAAGAGAGACGAAGUCACAGCAGCCCAGCUGGCAAGGGCGACUAGGCGGGCGGUUGGAUUAGGAGACCCACGCCACAACGGUGGCCCCGGCAGUCAUAGCUCAGGGCGCAGGUGACGUCUGUAUGGCCCUCAGGUCGACGAGGUUCUGGCCCGCAACCAGCACUCUAAGGAGCAACCCCUCAGUCAGCUGCCUGCUGAGACGGAGCUCCCAGUCAGACGAAAGGUGGCAGGUUGGCCCUGGCCGUGCUGUAGCUGAGGACCCAGGAGAGCAGAACGACCCCGCAGAACACACCUCUGCGAAAUCGGACAGGCAGACAUCGGGACCAGGCACAGCGAUCAGUCACCCCCUACCCUGGCACCAGCCAACCAGUGGGAGACCACGGCCCUACCUCUAUUAGUCACCAUGACUAAGGAUUUGGUUUUUCCCUACAGAACCCGUCCCCUGGAAGCUGUAGAGGAGCCUGGCCUUUGAGCCUGAGCUACCUGUCCCUCUGCGCAUGGCACCAUCUCGGCCAUAAACCCUGACCUCCUCGG
Phyllostomus hastatus (greater spear-nosed bat) is the source of this 594-nucleotide long non-coding RNA. RefSeq lists it as uncharacterized. The record is from RefSeq and is a predicted model, not a curated record. Lineage: Eukaryota; Metazoa; Chordata; Mammalia; Chiroptera; Phyllostomidae. The transcript is spliced from 2 exons.